RNAcentral lists this ribosomal RNA (387 nucleotides) under Triticum aestivum (bread wheat). RNAcentral describes it as "partial small subunit ribosomal RNA". The record is from RNAcentral. Lineage: Eukaryota; Viridiplantae; Streptophyta; Magnoliopsida; Poales; Poaceae.
AUGGUGAAAUUUAAUGUUGAUGGAGCGGUGGCGCGGCGCAGCCGUGGCGGUGUUGUCGCCGCGGUCUGCCCAGACCACACGGGCCUAUAUUUGGGGUCUUUGGCGGUGAUUUACCAUGGUGUUUUUGAUCCAACUACCUUGGAAACUUUUGCAUGUAGGGAGGCGUUGGCACUUGCUAGCGAUCUUCAGGUGACACAUAUGAUAAUACCAUCGAAUUGCCAAGGAGUGGUGAACGGUAUAAACCAAGGGACAGGAGGACUGCACUCAGCUAUCAUUCAGGAGAUUUUAGUUCGUAGAAACAACUUUACUUCUGUUUCUUUUGUUCAUGAGUGUAGAAACUUUAAUUUCGAGCCUCACAAUCUUGCCAAGUUUGCUUGUAAUCUUUAG